Drosophila yakuba is the source of this 6343-nucleotide long non-coding RNA. RefSeq lists it as uncharacterized. The record is from RefSeq and is a predicted model, not a curated record. The transcript is spliced from 3 exons. Lineage: Eukaryota; Metazoa; Arthropoda; Insecta; Diptera; Drosophilidae.
AUACAUAUACCAACAACAUUUUUUUCUAAAUCAAAUUUCCCCACUAUUCUCUACACUCGCUGAAAAUAUAUGGAUUAUUUUUCAAGGUUCAAGGACAAGGCAACUGUGAGUCCAGCCGUAAGAGCUUAUUAGGCUGUCGAAAGAGUGAGUCAGUAUUCCUUGGACGUACAAUAUACCUGACAGAUGCGGUGUGGGCGACCGGACGCUGUUAUUGAAGCAUGCGCACGACAACCAAGCCCAUUUGGUGGUCAGUGGUCAGUUCCGAAGAGCAUAUGUCAACUCUUAUUGCAGUCGAAGAGCCUUGACUUCAGCUUGGGAGGAUUCAUGAAAUAGAGCUGGACACGCCGGUGCUUGGAUUUUUUUCCGCAGAAGAUAAAAAAAAUACCGAUGAUUAAGGCUAAUAUAGCUUUAAAUACCGAUAUACCUUGUAGCCAUUUACAUUUCCUCACGAAAUACAAAUUUAAAUAUUUAAAGUUUUUAAAACUUAAUACGUAAAAGGCGAUAAUAAUAGAAAUUAAGUUAUUUAGGGGAGUUACAAUACUGGCUCAAACCGUCAAGACCACAUAGCAAGCGGAAGGAGGUGCUUCAGCCAAAGUACAACAAAGUUGUAUACAACCAGAAAUAUAUAUAUUCUUGACUAGGAUCACCGGCCUCGCCGAUCUUUCAAUGUUUAUAUGAGGAUCAAGACCUCGGGGCUAGAAAAGCUAGAAAGGUAAAAUGGCGCUGGCAGAUUUACACAUAGAUAUCAGUGGUAUUUAUAUGCGUUGCUUGUAGAUUAAACGCGUAUACCAGAUUCGCUAAAAAGAAUGUAAUUGGUAAAGAGAUGCGUUUCUGACCCUAUAAAGUAAUAAGGUAAUGAUCGGGAAGUGCAAUCUCGCCCUCGUACUCCCACUCCCACUAGCUGUGAUCUCGAGAAACUUGUCAAUACCGUCUUCUCUUGGUUUUUAACCCUAUUUGAAGGAGUUCAUAAAACUUGUUUUAAAUGCCUUGUGAAAUUACAAUUUUAACAAAAAGCUUAAAGGUUGAAAAUCCAUGUAAUCAAGAAAGAUUAUUAUUAAAUUUAAAACUACCAUAACUAUACCCAUUCUAUUUCCGUUCCUAAGAAAAGGCGUUUCCACACUAUGUAUAGCUUUGGUUGAGAGGAUAUUUUUCCAAACGCCAACGAAAAUUCUCGCUGGCUGUGCAAGGGGCGUGGUCUCGCAGCUUGUCGCGCACGCUAUUUAAGAAAAGAACAAGUUGGUUAGGUGGGGCGGGUUUUUGGGAUAGGGGUGAGUUUUCCUUGCAUAAGCCUAAAAUUGUAAAGUUAAAAUGGUAAUGGCGGAAAGAUUUAAAGAAUUCUGACGCAUAGACAGAGAACUCACAGCACCGCGACACAAAGUCAUCGGUGGAAAACGUUUUAGGGUCGAAGAAAGUUUUGAGCACUUAGUGUGCGCUAGCACAUGUGUUCAGAAGUAUGCACACUGUACACAUUAGUAGACUGUAUAUUAAACCCGGGCAUGUACUUGUAUGGUUCCUCAAUCUACAUUGCUGUAUACACAUAAGUUUCUACAUAAAAUUCGGAGUAUGUGCAAGAGGUUGUACAUACAAAAACACCCUCAUUAUGUUAAGCAGCGCAGCUAGAAACUUGCGGCUAUGCUUACUUUGAAGAAAAAGAAGGCGAAGAAAGAGAAAUGUCUGGAAAACGCACAGUCGAGGCUAAAAGCCAACCCCUAGUUUGGCAUUGGUUGGGGUUUCUCAAGUCACUGUUCUCGCGGAAAAAUGACAAGGCGGGCGUGAUAUAAAGUAAUCUCUGUCUCAGUCUAAGGUAUGCGAUGCGUUACAUUUGUGUGUUUGUACACACGGUAUAAGUAUUCAAUGUAUUAGGUAAAUAUAAAUAUUUUAAUCGUUGCCGAUUAGAUUAAAAGAAGAAAAAUAUCGGUAGAACAACAUCUUUAAAAAUUCCGAGCGAGCAGAUUGUGAGCUUUAAAUUGGUCAUAAGAAUAUAAUAUGUACAUAUAUAAUAACAAGAGAGAACGCUAUAGUCGAGUUCCCCGACUAUCUGAUACCCGUUACUCAGCUAGUGGAAGAAGAGAAAUUCAAAAAACUAACAAACGUGUUCAAAAAAUUCAAAACAUUCGUUAAAAGUAUGUGCGUGGCAGUUUCAAGCGAUUUGUGGGCGUUAGAGUGGGCGUGACAACAUGCGUUUUGCUCCGGCUGUUUCUCUGGAGUGUGCAUGUUGAAUAUAACAUUUCUAGUUUUUAUAGAUCUCCUGAGAUCUCGACGUUCAUUCGGACGGACAUGGCCAGAUAAACUCGGCUAUUGAUCCUGAUCAGGAAUAUAUGUACUUUAUAUGGUCGGAAACGCUUCCCAAUCUAGUAUACCCUUUUACUCUACGAGUAAUGGGUUUAAAAAUACUACAAUCAGAGAAAAAACAGAUCUCAGUGAUCUCGACUUGAGUAUUUUCGAUCUAAAGUCUAGACAAUAUCGACUCAUGCUGAGCAUGCUCAGAUUGAGAUUGAAUCAUUCUCAGAUCGCAAAUGAUAUUGAAAAAAUGUCUUCUCGCUAACGAGACAAAGCGAUCGAGAAGAAAUGAUCUCGAUCCCGAUUGCCAAUCCAAAAGAUAAAUUUUUAAUUUAAAAGUUCUAUUUAUUUAACAUACAUUUUACAUUAUUUUUAUUAUUUACAAAAUUAACAGUAUAUAACAUAUGUAUAUACAUAUUACAUAUGUAAAUAAUCUUCUUAAAAAUAAUUAACUAAAAAUUUAACUAAUACCAAAUAAUUUGCAAAGCAAAAAACGCAUUACUGUAAAAAUUAAAUGAAUUUUAAUAAAUUAAAAACAAACCUAGUUUGGGACAAACCCGUGUGACAUUCAGUUUGUUAAGUCUUACCUUUCUUUAUAUAUGUAUAUUUAUGUAGGGAUAUGUCGUAUAUUAAAUUAAAAUAACAUAAAAUGCAAACACAAGUUUUAUUAGUUGAAUAUUCUUCACAGCAAUUAAUGUUAAUAAAAUUAUGUACAUUUUUAUAUAUUUGUAUAUACAUAUGUACAUAGAUAAACGCAUUUAUAUAUACAUAUAUGUAUUUACCAAUAUAUGAACACAUUCCCGCAACCGAUACCACAAAUAUAUUAAUACUUACUUUUAGGUGGGGAAGAGCUUUUAAAAGCCCAAAUCGAAGGUUCUAGUCGUUGCACAUAAUUAUUACUCACAAACAAAGUAAUGGUUUAAUCGACAAGAAGAAGAAUCGUAUAAUUUGUAUUCAGAAAGUUUUAAAAUACAGACGAACCAACUGACAUGGCUAUGUCGUCUCGACUGAUGUUGUUGCUACUAACCAAGAAUAUAUGUAUAAGCAUAUAACAUAUACAUACAUAUGUACAUAUAUACGAAAUAUUUCCAAAGCGUAACAAACUUCUGACACAAAUCAAUGCCUUUUCACAGGGUAUAACAACAAAAAAUAUUCCAAAGGUGUGCGUAAACAUUUUUAGCAUUUCUAUAGAAAUUGAUAACGCAAAUUGUCGCAUUAAACAAAAUUAAAACAUUUGUAAAAAAUGUGGGCGUGACAACACUUUGUAACUGCACAGCCUAGGUAUCAAUCAAAUUUUUUUUAAAUCAUCUUUCUAGUUUGUAUUGUUCCCGAGAUCAUAGCGCUCAUACGGACAGGCACAUGGACUGUUCAUAUGUACGUCGCCAGAUCGACGAUCAAUAAGAUAUAUACUGAUCAAGAAUAUAUAUACUUUAUAGGGUCGAAACUUGUCCUUCAACCUGUUACACACUUUAAAAGAAUCUAGUGCACCCUAUUACUCAACGAAUAACGGGUACACCAACUAUUUAAUAGAGUAACAAAUCAUUUAGGGAUUAAUUUGAAUAUUUUGAGAGUUCUUGUAAUAUGAAAGUCUUGUCCUCAAUAGACCAUAUGGCUAACAACUAAUAACUAAAGAUUUAUUUACUUAUUUGUAAUAUUUCUAGAACUUUGUGCACUUUUUAAGGCGUGCCUAUGUUAGGUCAUCUUCAACUAUUAAAAAUAAUGUUGCCUUUUCAUAGAAAUUACAUCCACACAAAACGCUAUGUUAAAUUAGAAGGAAGUGUAUACUUCUUUUUGUAUAUAUAUACUAUAAUAUAAUCUGCAAUACAAUAUAAUAUAAUCUGCAAUGUAAUAUAUACAUAUAUAUUUUGAAAUGGUAUAUCAGCUAACAAUAAAAGUCUGUAUUGCUUAGUGACGUCAUUGUCAGUAUAUAAAAAUAUUCGUAGAUUGCGUAUGUCAAAUAAUUCGGGGCGACAUCUAUAUCUGAAGCCACCUUUAUUUUUCAAUUGAUUGUCUAAGCAACGGGUAUUGUUUAGUCAAGGAACUUGUCUAUUGCCUUAUUAUUAUUUUUAAUUUAUGAGUUUUUUAAUUUGUAAUUUUAUUUUAAGCUAAAACCUUAAAAAAAAGCGUAUGUAAAAAAUAGUGGGGUGGUUCGGCCUCACCGCUAUUUCUUUUAAAGAAAUACAAAAAGGGGCUGUGCAAAACAUAUAUUAUAUUAGAGCUGAAAAAGCUUAACGUGUUGAGCUUUUCCCAAAGCUUUGCCUAAGCGAAUUCAAGUGAGCCUAGGCGAAUUGUAAACAUUAAAGCUGAGUGAGCUUAAACUAAUUUUUGAGAAAUAUGUCAUACUAGUGAUUUCAAACAAAGUAAAACUAUAUUUAAUUUGCUUUAAGCAUUGCCAAAUUUUCACAAACAUUCGAGCCACGGAUAUAUAAUUUUCAUAAAAUGUUGCCAUCCCAAGCACACGGCUUCACAACACCAACGAUUAGAAUGCUAAUUUCUGAACUUCGUGUUCUAUUAAUGCCUUGUCAUACUUCGAAUGCCGGUCAUAAGCAGACAGACAGACAAUGGAUCAAUUGAUUUGGAUGGAUAUUUUGUCAGCUUGAUCAGUGAAUGGAGAUUUCGUUUAAUCGAUUGCAAAAGAUUUAAGGGGACUAGUGCACAUUUUCAUAACCUAUAAUAUUUAUACUCAAAUUAGUUUUUAAGUUAGUUUGUUAAGAAAAUUCAAAUCAAGGUUUUUCUUCCCACUUUUGAUUGAAAAUUUAAAAUGUAAGAAAUUCCAGGACAAUAAAUUGUUAAAAAAAAAAAUUCAGUUGAAAAGCGCAUAAAUGCUAGACACUGAAAAAUUAUAAUAUUAUAUCAUAAGCUUUUGUGACUAAAAUAAAUUUUAAGGGAAUAUAAAGCACAAUAAAUAAAUAAAUAACCUAUAAUGUGUGUGCCUUCUCUUGUCGUGUUCAAAUAACUGAAUUUAAUAACAUACGCAUCUAUAUUUGUAACUUAUACACAUGUAAGCCCAUAUAGGCACCGGUACAUAGACAAAAAGAGAAAUGGGAAGGAUGCGCGCAAUAUGAAUAUGCUUAUUAAUUUAUAAGUAUUAAUUCGUGCAGGCUCGCCACAUAGUUGAACUGCAACAUUAUGACCGUUAGCACACAAAUACCGAACCCGCACCAAUUCUGAGUUUACCAUACAUGUGCAAUCAAACACACACUCAAACUACACACACAUCCAUAUGCAUAAGUGCUUUUGGUACACUUCGUAUACAGUUUCUAAAGUAAAGCGCUGGGCUUUUUUAUGUACAUAAUUAGAGGUUGGAAUCUAAAUCUGAAUGGCUAUGUAUUGUUUUACAUAGGCAUGCAUUGUGUUAUCCCCCUACGAAGAGUGUGCGGAAAAUCAGAAAUUGUGUUCAUAACCCUCAGUUUGAGACCGCUUCUUUUAUUAAGGGCGACUGUACUUAGUUAGACUAUGACGAUUUGAGGCAAAGGAAGAAAAGUAGUGGUAGUGGUGGUCGGAUCGUCCCUUUAUCUCUUUUGCAUUGCACUUCUAGACGAACUAGCCCUGAUUAUUAUAGUUGCUUGACAGUAAGGAAGAGGAAGCUAAAACUUCUUUCCAGUUAAAGACAAUACACAAUAGUACCAUUUGGACAGUUUGAGGCUUGAGACCAGGUUUGAGGUGCGUGAUUGAGCCAACCUAGCAAUACGUUUUCUGAGCACAAGUCGUCUCCUUUAAGAAUUGAGUCAUGUGAGUUUGGACAUUUAGUAUGCUUGGCUUGUCCUUGUAUUUAGCUGUGAGCCAACUGAGUAUUUCGUAAAUUUUUGUUGUAUCCUGAGACUUAUGUACAUAUGUAGAUAUAUGUGUAGCUGUCGACUGAUAUAAACCUCAGAUUAUUUACAUAUGCACAUUGACUACGUGUAGUGAAUCUGGACCGAUAUAAUUUCGAUAUCAGAACCAAAAAUAAGCAAAAGCAAAGCAGCUUAUUUUUGAUAUGAUCUCGCUUAACUAUUUUUGUAACUUAACUAAUCUUUUUUUAACUUUAACUUUCCUAUAAAGCACGCGUUCAUUCUAGAAAAAU